ACCGCGACCCCAGUUCACGCGGGAUUACCCGCUUAGUUUAAGC
Molecule: ribosomal RNA, 43 nt
Filed under: Argentipallium blandowskianum
Lineage: Eukaryota; Viridiplantae; Streptophyta; Magnoliopsida; Asterales; Asteraceae
Description: partial 28S ribosomal RNA
Source: RNAcentral